CAGUGAUAAACUGGAGGAAGGUGGGGAUGACGUCAAGUCAUCAUGGCCCUUACGACCAGGGCUACACACGUGCUACAAUGGCGCAUACAAAGAGAAGCGACCUCGCGAGAGCAAGCGGACCUCAUAAAGUGCGUCGUAGUCCGGAUUGGAGUCUGCAACUCGACUCCAUGAAGUCGGAAUCGCUAGUAAUCGUGGAUCAGAAUGCCACGGUGAAUACGUUCCCGGGCCUUGUACACACCGCCCGUCACACCAUGGGAGUGGGUUGCAAAAGAAGUAGGUA
This 280-nucleotide ribosomal RNA is filed under the name Salmonella enterica subsp. enterica serovar Montevideo. RNAcentral describes it as "partial 16S ribosomal RNA". It matches the Rfam family "Bacterial small subunit ribosomal RNA", at positions 1153 to 1432 of the family's 1533-position model. The record is from RNAcentral. Lineage: Bacteria; Pseudomonadati; Pseudomonadota; Gammaproteobacteria; Enterobacterales; Enterobacteriaceae.